Molecule: long non-coding RNA, 418 nt
Organism: Octopus bimaculoides (California two-spot octopus)
Lineage: Eukaryota; Metazoa; Mollusca; Cephalopoda; Octopoda; Octopodidae
Source: RefSeq, a predicted model, not a curated record
CACCAAGACUGCUCUAAUUCGGCAAGCGCCAGGGACUUAAGUUAAAAGCAUUAAGCCUCUGGGAAAGACGUAUCCAAUUGAAAAGGGAGGAGGUGGUUACGAGAACUCAAAGCAAUAUUACUACAAUUGGGUUUGGUUUUAUUAUUGCCCAUACAGGCGCGAAUCGAUUUUUUAUUACCUAUAAAAGGCGACAGAGAAAAUCUCUUCGACUAUUACAACACAUAAAGACAAUACAUACGCGACAAGCAUAAACUCGGGGAACAAAAAAUUACAAAAAGAUGAAAUCAGAAGAAAAAAUGAAAGAAACGAAUGAUAAUAUGAAAGAAUGAAAAUGAGGUGCAAUGCCCACUCGAUCCCGAAAGUCGAGUGGUUACAUUUAUACAGUUUUUUUCUCUUUUAUAUAAAAAGUCUAAGUAUA